CCUGUGGGUAUUUGAGAAAAGAAACCCAGCUAAAACCCUUUACGGUUUUUUUUUGACGGUUCUGCCGUGUAGUUUCCGCCUCCUGCACAACGUAGGGUUUCCUCAGCUCCGCCCCCAUGGCGCGCGUCGCCGCCUCUAGGCUCGCCGCCGUCGUNNNNNNNNNNNNNNNNNAGCUCGAGGUGUUCUCCCGCCAUCUCCCCGCCGCCUCGUCGGCGUGGGGCACCCCGUCGCGGCUUCUCGAUCCAGCGAGGGAGAGAAGGAGCCCGAGUUGGUGGUGUCCGAGCAGGUCGUUCCAUGCCACAGUGAGGGUGAAUGCAAGGGAUUACUAUGGUGUGCUCGGAGUGAGCUCGGAUGCUUCUGCAUCAGACAUAAAGAAGGCAUAUUAUGGGCUUGCAAAGAAGUUCCACCCUGAUACUAAUAAAGAUGAUUCUGGCGCAGAAAAGAAAUUCCAAGAAGUUAACCGGGCCUAUGAGGUUUUGAAGGAUGAUGAUAAGCGCGAAACAUAUGAUCAGCUUGGAGUUGAAGCUUAUGAGCGCCUAGCAUCAGGGGGUGGCCCAGAUGGUUCCCCUGAUAGCGGUGGGGACUUUGCUGGUGAUAAUCCAUUUAGUGAUAUUUUUACCGAUAUCUUUGACAGAGGAGGCCAAGAUGUCCAGGUUCCUGUUGAAUUGUCAUUCAUGGAAGCUGUCCAAGGAUGCAGAAAAACUAUUACAUACGAGGCUGAUGUUCUCUGUGGGACCUGCAAUGGAAGUGGCGUUCCACCUGGCACUAUACCUCAAACAUGUAAAGCUUGUAGAGGUGCUGGUGUGACAUUCAUCCAGAGGGGUAUGUUGAGUUUUGAAUCUACUUGUUCUCGGUGCGGUGGAAGCGGAAAAAUUGUGAAGAAUUUUUGCAAGACAUGUAAGGGCCAACAGCUUGUCAAGGGAAAAAAAUCAGUCAAGCUUGACAUAAUGGCUGGAAUUGAUGACAAUGAGACUAUAAAGGUUCGUGGUCAGGGUGGUGCAGAUGCGGAGCGCAAUAAACCUGGUGACCUUCUUUUGACUAUCAAGGUCAGAGAGGAUCCUAUCUUCCGUAGAGAAGGCAACCAUGUGCAUGUUGAUGCUGUUCUAAGCAUGGCCCAGGCUGUGCUAGGUGGGACUGUUACAAUACCUACCCUCACCGGAAAUGUUUCAGUCAAGGUUCGCCAAGGUACGCAACCAGGAGAGAAGGUUGUCCUACGGGGCAAAGGAAUAAAGGCGAAGAAUUCGUCAUCGUACGGGAACCAUUAUGUUCACUUCAACAUCAGAGUCCCAACGGAGCUGACACCACGGCAACGGGAGCUGAUGGAGGAGUUUGAUAAAGAGGAGAGCAACGACGUGGCGAGAGUUGCGGCUGCAUCUGGAUGAGAUUUUUAUGCUCCUCAUCGAUUGAUUGAUUAUUGGCACACAUAAUAAGUCAGAUAGCCUUGAAGGGCCUGGUGUACCCUAUAUGUCCCUAUCCUUGUUUGUAGGCGUUAGAUGGUGAGUUUUGCCCUGUAUAAUAUACACGUCACCAUAACUGAUAAGCCUAAAUUAUAUUGUAUAAGCAUCUGAUUUAUAUAUUCACCACUUCCUUGUGGUACCAUUGUAACAAGAGAUUAAGUUGGAACCGAUGGAAGCAACGUUUUUGGAUGAGAAUGUAUCAGCAUUUUUGUUAUAAACAUGAAACAAAU
Molecule: ribosomal RNA, 1687 nt
Filed under: Triticum aestivum (bread wheat)
Lineage: Eukaryota; Viridiplantae; Streptophyta; Magnoliopsida; Poales; Poaceae
Description: partial small subunit ribosomal RNA
Source: RNAcentral